This 253-nucleotide ribosomal RNA is filed under the name uncultured bacterium. Its description in RNAcentral is "partial 16S ribosomal RNA". It matches the Rfam family "Bacterial small subunit ribosomal RNA", at positions 524 to 776 of the family's 1533-position model. The record is from RNAcentral.
UACGUAGGUGGCAAGCGUUGUCCGGAUUUACUGGGCGUAAAGAGCGCGCAGGCGGUCGUUCAAGUCGCGUGUGAAAGCCCCCGGCUUAACUGGGGAGGGUCACGCGAUACUGAUCGACUCGAAGGCAGGAGAGGGUAGUGGAAUUCCCGGUGUAGUGGUGAAAUGCGUAGAUAUCGGGAGGAACACCAGUGGCGGAGGCGACUACCUGGCCUGUUCUUGACGCUGAGGCGCGAAAGCUAGGGGAGCAAACGGG